RNAcentral lists this ribosomal RNA (253 nucleotides) under uncultured bacterium. RNAcentral's name for it is "partial 16S ribosomal RNA". It matches the Rfam family "Bacterial small subunit ribosomal RNA", at positions 524 to 776 of the family's 1533-position model. The record is from RNAcentral.
UACAGAGGUCCCAAGCGUUGCUCGGAAUCACUGGGCGUAAAGGGUGCGUAGGCGGGUCUUUAAGUCAGGGGUGAAAUCCUGGAGCUCAACUCCAGAACUGCCUUUGAUACUGAAGAUCUUGAGUUCGGGAGAGGUGAGUGGAACUGCGAGUGUAGAGGUGAAAUUCGUAGAUAUUCGCAAGAACACCAGUGGCGAAGGCGGCUCACUGGCCCGAUACUGACGCUGAGGCACGAAAGCGUGGGGAGCAAACAGG